This 460-nucleotide ribosomal RNA is filed under the name uncultured bacterium. Its description in RNAcentral is "partial 16S ribosomal RNA". It matches the Rfam family "Bacterial small subunit ribosomal RNA", at positions 338 to 795 of the family's 1533-position model. The record is from RNAcentral.
ACUACGGAGGGCUGCAGUGAGGAAUAUUGGUCAAUGGACGCAAGUCUGAACCAGCCAUGCCGCGUGCAGGAAGCCGGCUCUAUGAGUUGUACACUUCUUUUGUACGAGGGUAAAUCCCGAUACGUGUACCUGUUUGAAAGUAUCUUACGAAUAAGGAUCGGCUAACUCCGUGCCAGCAGCCGCGGUAAUACGGAGGAUUAAAGCGUUAUCCGGAUUUAUUGGGUUUAAAGGGUGCGUAGUCGGUUGGAUAAGUUAGUGGUGAAAGCCUGGGGCUCAACCCCGGCAGUGCAUCUGAUACUGUCAGGCUUGAGUUUAGUUGCGGUAGGCGGAAUUGUUGGUGUAGCGGUGAAAUGCGUAGAGAUCAUACAGAACACCGAUUGCGAAGGCAGCUUACUAAACUUCGACUGACGUUGAGGCACGAAAGCGUGGGGAGCAAACAGGAUUAGAUACCCGAGUAGUC